Long non-coding RNA from Camellia sinensis, 357 nucleotides. RefSeq lists it as uncharacterized. Lineage: Eukaryota; Viridiplantae; Streptophyta; Magnoliopsida; Ericales; Theaceae. The record is from RefSeq and is a predicted model, not a curated record.
CUCACUAAACUUCUCUCCUUCCAAGUCUCCUCUCUUUUUUAUUCCUUUUGCUACUCUCUGAACUUUCUUACACAUCCAAGGCAUAGGCUUCCUCGGCCAAAGCUGUUUCUUCUUCUAACCAACCUUUCAAAAGGGUUUGCAACAACCAUGGACAAGGUUAACUCAAAGCUGUACUUGGAGAACUGCUACAUAAUCCAAGAGAAUGAGAGGCUUAGGAAGAGAGCACAGCUUCUGAACCAAGAGAAUCAAGCACUCCUCUCUGAGCUUAAGAACAAGCUCUCUAAUGGUGGCCCAAGCUCAAAGCUCAAGGGUGGCCCAAGCUCUCUUCCUGAUCUAAACCUCAGCUCCACCUCCAGC